This is a long non-coding RNA of Rhea pennata, 670 nucleotides long. RefSeq lists it as uncharacterized. The record is from RefSeq and is a predicted model, not a curated record. The transcript is spliced from 2 exons. NCBI's taxonomy places the organism in Eukaryota, Metazoa, Chordata, Aves, Rheiformes, Rheidae.
CAACGAGAGCAGGAGCUCCGGCUCAAGCUCGGGGUCUGCUGUGGAAGGCAAGAGGGCCAGCUGACGACUUCCUCACUGACGUUUUCUCUUCCAACCAGUAGAGCUGCAGGCAUUUGCCCAAAAGUCCGACUGCUCUUGGCUGGCGAGCAGCUCUAACACCAUGCACCUGUGUAAUGGAUAUAUGUGCAGCUGGACAUGUUUAGCACUGCUGAUCCCUCUGGAGCACAUGCCACACUGCCGGAUUUGCCCUGGGUGGACUGGGAACAAGAAUCCAUUAGGAAUAGUUCCUGACUGAAUUGGAAGCUUUUAAUCUCUUCUUGUCUGAAGAAGGUUCUAGAAUCAUCAUCUUGCUCCUGCUCUCCUUUUCCUUCUGUCAGCUCUGGCAAAAACUGAUAGCCAGGUGACUUGUCUGAAGAAAAUAAGUUUUUCACAUCCUGGGCUACUGUUUCGCUCCAACUUUACACUUAAGAAACAAGCUGAUGAAUUCGGGUGCUGCCCUUCGUGUCAUUCGCGGCGUCACGCCGACUCCUGAAGAGCAGCUCAGCAGAGAGAUCAAGUUUUGCUGCAUUUUCAUGAACUGAAUGAAAUGGUUACAGUGCUGAUCAGCUUGACCCCUACUCUUUAUUCAGUCAUCCUGGGUAUAAUAAAAUUAUUAGUUGUUGCAAAUUAA